This 334-nucleotide long non-coding RNA is filed under the name Gossypium raimondii (Peruvian cotton). Its description in RNAcentral is "long non-coding RNA (GRAI_LNC003726)". The record is from RNAcentral. Lineage: Eukaryota; Viridiplantae; Streptophyta; Magnoliopsida; Malvales; Malvaceae.
GAGUAACUUGACAACUUCGUUUGAGGUGUUUCUGAUCUCCAAAAUUCACGAAAUUUAAACUAGAAUGUCCUUAAAUAUUUUAUUUUUGAUCUGGAAUGUUUCGACACAAAAAUCAACCCGCUGAAUAUUUUUAAAAUUUUUUUCUUGAUUUUGUAUUUUUCAUUUUUUUGAAUUUUUCGACUGCUUUUUUUGUGGGAAAUAUUUUUUAAUAAUCUACCACAGUGCCAAAAAUAUGCAUAUAAAAUUUUAGACCAAUCAGACAACAUUUACCCACUCAAAUGAAUUUUUUUCCAAAAAUUUUUCUGGGUAAAAGCUGUUGUUUGUUGUUUUAAAA